UUGGGGGUAAUGCCAGGAAUUUUGAAACAGUUGAGAAGCAGAGCAAUUCUCAGCUAGAACCUGAUGCAUAUCUAGUAAUUCAAACUUUUCCUACAACACCAUUUUGGGGGAAACCUGGGUAAGGGAUAAAGAUGCAGGGGAACAAGUGUUCUAAAUCCCCCUGGAUUUCUGACAGAGCAAACCUUCCAGUGAUCCCAGCUGAUGCCUCUGAAAAACUGUGGGAGCCUAAGGAUUUCCAGGAAAGCAAAACAAGGACAGAGAUGAGGGAAUGGGCUUCCAGUCAGUAAUGAUUUGAUGGACAUGGGAAUGAUUCUUGUAUGUUUAAUGCUCCCUAUUGUAUUCCCUGAAAGAUUUUAAAGUCAUUCCUUUAAUAAAUCAUUUAAAUUUGAGAGGAAACAAUGCAAAAUUAAUGCAUGGAGAGAUUGUGGAAUCAUCAUGGAAUGGUUUGGGCUGGAAGCCUCAUCUCUGAGCCUAUCAUGGUCUGGCUCCUGUCCUUCAGCCACUCCUUGCAGGUGGACGUGGAAAUGAUGGAGAUGUGCAGGGAAUGCUGGUUGGUUUUCCCUGCCUCUGGCAAUCUGGCCAUGACAAAGACUAAUUGACCUCCUCUCCCAGCAGGGAAACAUUUAAACAAGAGGUGCCAAAAAGAACUGGAGCUUCUGCACAAUGAAAUCUGCAGGAAUUCAACUUAAAAUCCCCCUGGAUUGUCACCAGUCCAAGUUCCAUGGACUGGGCUCUGUGGCCAGGAGUGUCCAAUCCUGCUGGAAAUGCGCCGGACCAGGAUGUCAUUUUCACUUUAUACAGGAGCUUUUCCCUUGCCUAGAGGUGCAGCCAGUGCUUUCCUUAGACCACAGAUCCCCAGGAUGGACCACAGAGAAAAUAACAGGACUGUGGAAAUGCCCCACACUGGGAGUUCGUGGUGCUCUGGAUUACAUUUUGCAUUUACAAUGUUAAAGGGGGGGCAUGCAGGGGGGGUUUUCUCACUCUUGUCUUCAUUGUUCUCACUGUUCUUGUUGUUCUUACUGUUAUUACGUGUUAUCAUUAAUAUUAAAUGAUUGUAUUUGACUGGUUUCCAUUAUUAAAAGUGUUCUGAGCUGGAU
RNAcentral lists this long non-coding RNA (1097 nucleotides) under Chloebia gouldiae (Gouldian finch). RNAcentral describes it as "Erythrura gouldiae (Gouldian finch) lncRNA (ENSEGOG00005017619.1)". Lineage: Eukaryota; Metazoa; Chordata; Aves; Passeriformes; Passeridae. The record is from RNAcentral.